RNAcentral lists this ribosomal RNA (967 nucleotides) under Annulohypoxylon sp. RNAcentral describes it as "eukaryotic LSU rRNA". The stretch from base 625 to 778 matches the Rfam family "5.8S ribosomal RNA". The record is from RNAcentral. Lineage: Eukaryota; Fungi; Ascomycota; Sordariomycetes; Xylariales; Hypoxylaceae.
AAACUCCAACCCUUUGUGAACCUACCUAUGUUUCCUCCGGCGUACCGCUUUAGCCUACCCACAGGGCUCCCCCAAGGGGGGGGGUUCUGCUGGGGAGGUGCCUGAGUGCUACCUAUCCUUCGGGGUACGGUUAGUGCAUUGAAGGUGCCGACCAAGGCCUCGGCGGCGCCGAGUAGGACCGCUCCAAACUUAAGCACCUAGUGCAUCCAACCCCGCGUUGAACAACUAUCGAAAAUUUGCUUUUGCAUUUGCUUUACUGCAUUUUUUCUUUACGCUAGAACGUCUUUCCCGGUUGGAAUUAUUGCUCGAGAUGCCCUAAAAGACUGAUCGUAAGCACUGUAGGAUGCGUGAAAUGUGUGAAAUGUCCCUCUCGUAGUGUCCUUUCCACAUCGCUCAAACGUGUUUCCCGGUUGGAAUUUUUGCUCGAAAUAAUAAUUUCUUUACCCUGUAGUCGUUUGUUUUCAAGCUCCAAUAUCUGCUCGAAUAAAAUUGCUUCAAUAUUUGCUCGAAAAUUGUUCAAAGCUCUGAGGGGUCUGAAUGAAUUCAUAAAAUUGGCAAAAGCCACCUAUAAACUACGGUUUUAGGGGGUGAUCAAACCGAGGUUUUAAAAACCAAAUACGUUAAAACUUUCAACAACGGAUCUCUUGGUUCUGGCAUCGAUGAAGAACGCAGCGAAAUGCGAUAAGUAAUGUGAAUUGCAGAAUUCAGUGAAUCAUCGAAUCUUUGAACGCACAUUGCGCCCAUUAGUAUUCUAGUGGGCAUGCCUAUUCGAGCGUCAUUACAACCCCUUAAGCCUUGUAGCUUAGCGUUGGGAAUCUACCCCUCACCUGAGGGGUAGUUCCUUAAAUUCAGUGGCGGAGUUAUAGCACACUCUAAGCGUAGUAGUUUAACUCGCUUUCAGGGAGGCUGUAGCUGCUUGCCGUAAAAACCCCCUAUAACUUAUAGUGGUUUGACCUCGGAUUAGGUA